This 224-nucleotide ribosomal RNA is filed under the name uncultured bacterium. RNAcentral's name for it is "partial 16S ribosomal RNA". It matches the Rfam family "Bacterial small subunit ribosomal RNA", at positions 524 to 747 of the family's 1533-position model. The record is from RNAcentral.
UACGUAGGGCGCAAGCGUUGUCCGGAAUUAUUGGGCGUAAAGAGCUCGUAGGCGGUUUGUCGCGUCUGCUGUGAAAACCCGAGGCUCAACCUCGGGCCUGCAGUGGGUACGGGCAGACUAGAGUGUGGUAGGGGAGACUGGAAUUCCUGGUGUAGCGGUGGAAUGCGCAGAUAUCAGGAGGAACACCAAUGGCGAAGGCAGGUCUCUGGGCCACAACUGACGCU